RNAcentral lists this ribosomal RNA (419 nucleotides) under bacterium. RNAcentral's name for it is "partial 16S ribosomal RNA". It matches the Rfam family "Bacterial small subunit ribosomal RNA", at positions 355 to 776 of the family's 1533-position model. The record is from RNAcentral.
UGGGGGAUAUUGCACAAUGGGCGAAAGCCUGAUGCAGCGACGCCGCGUGGGGGAUGAAGGCCUUCGGGUUGUAAACUUCUUUUGCUCUGAACAAGGCGCACCAUGGGGUGUGUUGAGUGUAGGGGUUGAUUAGCGCCGGCUAACUACGUGCCAGCAGCCGCGGUAAUACGUAGGGCGCGAGCGUUGUCCGGAAUUAUUGGGCGUAAAGGGCUUGUAGGUGGCUGGUUGCGUCUGUCGUGAAAGCUCAUGGCUUAACUGUGGGUUUGCGGUGGGUACGGGCUGGCUUGAGUGCAGUAGGGGAGGCUGGAAUUCCUGGUGUAGCGGUGGAAUGCGCAGAUAUCAGGAGGAAUACCGGUGGCGAAGGCGGGUCUCUGGGCUGUUACUGACACUGAGGAGCGAAAGCAUGGGGAGCUAACAGG